RNAcentral lists this ribosomal RNA (557 nucleotides) under uncultured bacterium. RNAcentral describes it as "bacterial SSU rRNA". It matches the Rfam family "Bacterial small subunit ribosomal RNA", at positions 102 to 694 of the family's 1533-position model. The record is from RNAcentral.
ACGGGUGAGUAACGCGUGGGAAUCUACCCAUCUCUACGGAAUAACGCAUGGAAACGUGUGCUAAUACCGUAUACGUCCUUCGGGAGAAAGAUUUAUCGGAGAUGGAUGAGCCCGCGUUGGAUUAGCUAGUUGGUGGGGUAAAGGCCUACCAAGGCGACGAUCCAUAGUUGGUCUGAGAGGAUGAUCAGCCACACUGGGACUGAGACACGGCCCAGACUCCUACGGGAGGCAGCAGUGGGGAAUAUUGGACAAUGGGCGCAAGCCUGAUCCAGCCAUGCCGCGUGAGUGAUGAAGGCCCUAGGGUUGUAAAGCUCUUUCACCGGUGAAGAUAAUGACGGUAACCGGAGAAGAAGCCCCGGCUAACUUCGUGCCAGCAGCCGCGGUAAUACGAAGGGGGCUAGCGUUGUUCGGAUUUACUGGGCGUAAAGCGCACGUAGGCGGACUAUUAAGUCAGGGGUGAAAUCCCGGGGCUCAACCCCGGAACUGCCUUUGAUACUGGUAGUCUUGAGUUCGAGAGAGGUGAGUGGAAUUCCGAGUGUAGAGGUGAAAUUCGUAGA